This 538-nucleotide ribosomal RNA is filed under the name uncultured bacterium. RNAcentral's name for it is "bacterial SSU rRNA". It matches the Rfam family "Bacterial small subunit ribosomal RNA", at positions 362 to 917 of the family's 1533-position model. The record is from RNAcentral.
UCUUGCGCAUGGGCGAAAGCCUGNCGCAGCCAUGCCGCGUGAAUGAUGAAGGUCUUAGGAUUGUAAAAUUCUUUCAGCGGGGACGAUAAUGACGGUACCCGCAGAAGAAGCUCCGGCUAACUUCGUGCCAGCAGCCGCGGUAAUACGAAGGGGGCUAGCGUUGCUCGGAAUUACUNGGGCGUAAAGGGCGCNGUAGGCGGAUGUUUAAGUCAGAGGUGAAAGCCCAGGGCUCAACCUUGGAAUUGCCUUUGAUACUGGACAUCUUGAGUACGGGAGAGGUGAGUGGAACUCCGAGUGUAGAGGUGAAAUUCGUAGAUAUUCGGAAGAACACCAGUGGCGAAGGCGACUCACUGGCCCGUUACUGACGCUGAGGCGCGAAAGCGUGGGGAGCAAACAGGAUUAGAUACCCUGGUAGUCCACGCUGUAAACGAUGAGUGCUAGUUGUCGGCAUGCAUGCAUGUCGGUGACGCAGCUAACGCGUUAAGCACUCCGCCUGGGGAGUACGGUCGCAAGAUUAAAACUCAAAGGAAUUGACGGA